RNAcentral lists this ribosomal RNA (275 nucleotides) under Klebsiella pneumoniae. RNAcentral's name for it is "partial 16S ribosomal RNA". It matches the Rfam family "Bacterial small subunit ribosomal RNA", at positions 1 to 274 of the family's 1533-position model. The record is from RNAcentral. Lineage: Bacteria; Pseudomonadati; Pseudomonadota; Gammaproteobacteria; Enterobacterales; Enterobacteriaceae.
AAAUUGAAGAGUUUGAUCAUGGCUCAGAUUGAACGCUGGCGGCAGGCCUAACACAUGCAAGUCGAGCGGUAGCACAGAGAGCUUGCUCUCGGGUGACGAGCGGCGGACGGGUGAGUAAUGUCUGGGAAACUGCCUGAUGGAGGGGGAUAACUACUGGAAACGGUAGCUAAUACCGCAUAAUGUCGCAAGACCAAAGUGGGGGGCCUUCGGGCCUCAUGCCAUCAGAUGUGCCCAGAUGGGAUUAGCUAGUAGGUGGGGUAACGGCUCACCUAGGC